Molecule: transfer RNA, 75 nt
Filed under: Chloroflexaceae bacterium
Lineage: Bacteria; Bacillati; Chloroflexota; Chloroflexia; Chloroflexales; Chloroflexaceae
Description: tRNA-Cys
Rfam family: tRNA
About the family: Transfer RNA (tRNA) molecules are approximately 80 nucleotides in length. Their secondary structure includes four short double-helical elements and three loops (D, anti-codon, and T loops).
Source: RNAcentral
GGCGGCAUAGCCAAGUGGUAAGGCAGCAGCCUGCAAAGUUGCCAUUCGUGGGUUCGAAUCCCACUGCCGCCUCCA